Long non-coding RNA from Canis lupus familiaris (dog), 1415 nucleotides. RefSeq lists it as uncharacterized. The transcript has 5 exons. The record is from RefSeq and is a predicted model, not a curated record. Lineage: Eukaryota; Metazoa; Chordata; Mammalia; Carnivora; Canidae.
UGUUCCACUUCAUAGGAAACUGACAAACUUUUUUCCAAAGUGGCUGAAAAAUUUUGACCUCUGAUAAGUAGUCCAUAAGAUUUCUAGUUGCUCUUUAUCUUUGCUAUUACUUGGUACAGUCAGUUUUUAAAUUUAGUAGUUUUACUUGACAUACAGUGGUAUCACAUAAUGGAUUUGAGUUUCCCUAAGGAUUAAUGAUGUUGAGAACUUUUCACAUGUUUAUGUGUAAUUAUUAGGUCUUUGGUGAGAUACCUGUUAAAAUUUUGGCUUUAAAAAAAAAUUGGUUGUAUUUUUUUUUAAGGUUUGUUUUACAUUUUUUCUUUUUCUGUUCUAUAACAUUUAUUGAGAUAUAAUUCACAUACCAUACAAUUCACCCAUUUGAAGUAUAAGAUUGGGCGGUGGUUUUUAAAAUAUUAAAGGUUAUACAACCAUCACUACAGUGAUAGGUCGAAUUGAGCUUCACCCACCCCCAAUUCAUAUGUCUAAGUCAUAACCCUCAGUAUCUCAGAAUGUGACCUUUUUGGAAAUAAGGUCUAAAGUGAAGUAAUGGGGGUGGUUAAUCCAAUAUGACAUAUGUCCUUAUAAGAAGGGGAAUUUUGGACACAAAGAGAUGCAUAAGGAGAAGGUGAUGUGAAGAGCUCAAAGGAGAACAUGGCCAUCUACAAACAAGGACAGGGACCUGGAACAGAUCAUCCCCACAGAAGGAACCGAAUCUGCUAUCACCUUGAUUUUAGUCUCCAGACCUGUGAGACAAGAAAUUUUGUUUUCACCACCAACUAUAUGUCACACUGGCUACCCAGCACCACCACUUCAACGCAGACAGCUGCCAGGUUCUGCCUUGGUUCCUCUUUCAUGCCCUGUGGUUUGAACUUUCUCCAGCCAGUAAGAACUUAAUGAAGAUUUUAUAAAUAAAAGAACAGACCCUAGGGAAAAUGGUGAUACUUGUGUCUCACCCAGGAAACAUCUACAGCAAGCUACUCCUUAGACCUUCCAAUCUUCAGCCAAAGCCUCAGAGAAAGACCCACGACAGCUGUGUGCUAGCGCAUAGCAGGUGACAUCCGCAGUGAGGUCUGGCAGCGGGAGGGAAAGGAGGAGAGAGGAGAGGUCAGCAUCUCAGUAUCCACCCUCCACCUCGCCACCACUUGCUCCACAGAUGCAGGACUCCGAGGCAGCAUCUGAAAGUCAUCCAUUUCCUCCCCGCCUUCCCUCUGAAAUGCUUUUCUUAAAAAAAAUGCCCCACGGAUCUAAAUAAGGUUUUUCUCUGAGUAGAGGGAUUUCAGUCUGGUUCUCUGUGUACUGUAGGUAUAAGACCUAAGUGAAAAAUAUAGAGGAGUUAAGAGUCACACAGGAGGCCUUUUUACUGUCUGUGUGUUUUGCAUUUCCCCCCCUAGCAAUAAAAUAAAUAAAAGAAAACA